Molecule: ribosomal RNA, 496 nt
Filed under: uncultured bacterium
Lineage: Bacteria
Description: partial 16S ribosomal RNA
Rfam family: Bacterial small subunit ribosomal RNA
Source: RNAcentral
GAUGAACGCUGGCGGCGUGCCUAAUACAUGCAAGUCGAGCGAACAGACGAGGAGCUUGCUCCUUCGACGUUAGCGGCGGACGGGUGAUUAACACGUAGGUAACCUACCUAUAAGACUGGGAUAACUUCGGGAAACCGAAGCUAAUACCGGAUAAUAUUUCGAACCGCAUGGUUCGAUGGGGAAAAAUGGCUUUGCUAUCACUUAUAGAUGGACCUGCCCGGUCUUGUCUAGUUGGUAAGGUAACGGCUUACCAAGGCAACGAUACGUAGCCGACCUGAGAGGGUGAUCGGCCACACUGGAACUGAGACACGGUCCAAACUCCUACGGGAGGCAGCAGUAGGGAAUCUUCCGCAAUGGGCGAAAGCCUGACGGAGCAACGCCGCGUGAGUGAGGAAGGUCUUCGGAUCGUAAAACUCUGUUAUUAGGGAAGAACAAACGUGUAAGUAACUGUGCACGUCUUGACGGUACCUAAUCAGAAAGCCACGGCUAACUACGG